Molecule: ribosomal RNA, 303 nt
Filed under: uncultured bacterium
Lineage: Bacteria
Description: partial 16S ribosomal RNA
Rfam family: Bacterial small subunit ribosomal RNA
Source: RNAcentral
AGCAGUCGCCGCGGUAAUACGAAGGGGGCUAGCGUUGCUCGGAAUGACUGGGCGUAAAGGGCGCGUAGGCGGAUCACGCAGUCAGAUGUGAAAUUCCUGGGCUUAACCUGGGGGCUGCAUUUGAGACGCGUGGUCUAGAGUGUGAAAGAGGGUCGUGGAAUUCCCAGUGUAGAGGUGAAAUUCGUAGAUAUUGGGAAGAACACCGGUGGCGAAGGCGGCGACCUGGUUCAUGACUGACGCUGAGGCGCGAAAGCGUGGGGAGCAAACAGGAUUAGAUACCCCAGUAGUCCCUGUCUCUUAUAC